AAGUCGUAACAAGGUUUCCGUAGGUGAACCUGCGGAAGGAUCAUUAGUGAAUUUAGAGCGUAACCUUUGGUUAGCUCAACCUUCAUUUUCCAACUCUGUGCACUAUUGGCGGACUGGGAGCAAGGAAUUGCUAUUCAGUCUGCGGCUCACUAUUAAACAUUAGUUAAAGUAUGUAUUAUAAAAAAUAAAACAAAAAAAAGCUUUCAACAACGGAUCUCUUGGCUCUCGCAUCGAUGAAGAACGCAGCGAAAUGUGAUAAGUAAUGCGAAUUGCAGAAUUCAGUGAAUCAUCGAAUCUUUGAACGCACCUUGCACUCUCUGGUAUUCCGGAGAGUAUGCCUGUUUGAGUGUCAUGAACUCUUCAACCUACCGAUUCCUAGUGAAUCGGAUUAGUGUUUGGAUUUUGAACGCUUGCUGGCCUUUCGGGGCGAAGCUCGUUCGUAAAUGAUUAGCAUCUCAUAUUCGAAAAUCGGAUUGACUCAGUGUAAUAGACUAUUCGCUGAGGACGCUUCUUUUGAAGUGGCCGAGUUUUGUAAAGUAGAAGCUUCUAAUUCUAUUAGUCAACUUUAGAUUAGACCUCAGAUCAGGCAGGAUUACCCGCUGAACUUAA
Molecule: ribosomal RNA, 609 nt
Filed under: uncultured fungus
Lineage: Eukaryota; Fungi
Description: eukaryotic LSU rRNA
Rfam family: 5.8S ribosomal RNA (bases 199-352)
Source: RNAcentral